UCGCACGCCUCCGCCUCGCGCACGUCUCCGUCACGGCGCGCCCCGCCGUCGCCGGCACCAUCUCCGCCACGCUCAAGGUCCGCAUCCGCAACCCGGACCUUUUCGUGCUCAACUACUCCCACCUCGACAUCAACAUCGGCUAUGGCAGAUCUCCAAGGACAACCUGCUCCCGCACCCGCUACCGCGCCCCAGCCGCGAGGAGAACAAGCCCUUCCUGCUUGUCCAGGUGAGCAUGUUAGGGUGCGGCGGCUUUGUGGUGGGGUUCCGGUUCAGCCACGGCAGACUGGCCGGGCGCCGCCGAGUUCAUGGGCACGGUGGGGGAGCUGGCGUGCGGGGCGGACAAGAUCUGGCCGCCCCCAACCAUGGGCCGCGACGCCAUUCCGGACCUGGCCGGUGAGCACAGCGGAUUUCAACGAAGGGAAGGAAGCAACCGGCGAUUCGCUCCGAGCCGAUCUGAUUCGCCAUGAAGCCUUCAAGAAGGAAUUCACCUUUGUGGUCCGGGUGCAGUUGAGAGGCUCCAGGAAUCCGCCGCCAUGAUCGCCAACUAUCCCGCCAGGGGCCUGUCAUUGUUGAAAGGUUUUCAAGGAGUAAUUUACCAGAAUUGGAGAAGAGGAAGUAAGUUACUACUCUCUUGUGCCUAUUACAUUACUAGAGAUGGAUCAGUUGUUUGAUGUCAUUGAUUCCACGUUGCACCAUGAUUGAUAUGCUAUAGUAAUUUCAUUGAUCAUCUAUUUGGAAGAUUGACUUGUAGUAAUACAACUUGGUGGGGAAGCAGCAAGCUUUUGGGCUGCCUGCGGUGGUGGCGGUGCUGCUGUCGGACCCGUUUGUGCAGUUUGACGUGGCGCGCAAGAUUACCUCCAUGCUCUGUCGUCCUACCUCGGCCGCGUUGUCCGUUGUUUGUCGUGUUCGUUGAGCGGGCGUGUCGGGUACCAUGACUAGGGGCACCCUAAUCAGGGGACUAAAAUCGCCCUAAAGACGCAAACACGUGCUGGGCAACCGGGCCCACGAAGGCCUACAGCCUCCUUCCAAUCUGGAAGAAAGGAAAGGACUCAAAGAAGCUCAACACACGGCCCACGUACGCAGUGCGGCCCAUUCGCACCCCCCUCUCGGACCCACAGGGGGAGCUCUGCUUCGCUCGAGGGCUCCCCGCCGAAGCCCUCGA
Panicum virgatum (switchgrass) is the source of this 1162-nucleotide RNA transcript. RefSeq lists it as uncharacterized. Lineage: Eukaryota; Viridiplantae; Streptophyta; Magnoliopsida; Poales; Poaceae. The transcript is spliced from 4 exons. The record is from RefSeq and is a predicted model, not a curated record.